Cynoglossus semilaevis (tongue sole) is the source of this 588-nucleotide long non-coding RNA. RefSeq lists it as uncharacterized. The transcript is spliced from 3 exons. The record is from RefSeq and is a predicted model, not a curated record. Lineage: Eukaryota; Metazoa; Chordata; Actinopteri; Pleuronectiformes; Cynoglossidae.
GGGAUUUUCGUUUUGGGCCAGGAGACCGGAGCAGCUCGGAGUGGUUGAUGGAAACUGAGUCAGACGGAAAAGGGCCUGUAGGGGUCUCUGUUUGAUCUGGUAUCAGCGUCAGCUCCUUCAGGCUGGAAUCCUGAGGGAGUGAGAAGGCAGAGGAGGAGGAUGAGGAUGAUGAUGAUGAUGAUGAUGAUGAUGACGAAGAGCAUGCUGGGAUCUGAGCUGUAGAUGGAUGAGUCACCUCCUGAGCGCCGCGGUCCUCUGAGAACCCUCCUCUCCGACGACUGCACCUUCACACCGACAACAUCUCGGCUGCCGAACGAUGAUUUUAAUCAAGAGGUCAUCGUUGAUGAUGAUGAGGACAGGAAGUCGUCUCCUCCUGCAGGUUGGUCACAGGUGCAGGUGGAAGGAAAGGAGCUGAUUGGUUCUCUCCUGAGGGCUCCACCAUGAGAAGCCAGGUUCUACCAGCUGAUUUAUUUAAGUUUUUUUUUUUUUUUUUUGGUGAAGGCACUCUUUCUGUCUUUCUUGUUCUCUCUAAAACUGAACGUAACACACCAAAAAAAAAACUAAAUGAUUAAAAGUCUGUAAAACACA